UAAUUUGGGGGAGGGGAGUAAUAAGCAGAAAUGGCUAGACUAGGUAUCUACAAAAUCUUUUGCUUACCAAAAAACAUUUUGGGUAGAACACAUUUCCAAAUCACUGCUCUUUAAAUAUAAUUAGUAAUUAUUUGCUUAGGAGAACAUUCGAGAAGGAUGAAAAGCAUGUACCUAAUUCCUUGGUGAGUGGUGCAGGAAGUAGAGGCUAUUGUGUGGUCCCUCUGAUGCAUGAAGUCUUGCAGCCCAAUAGCUACUAGCUCUCAAGGUAUCACAGGUGACAAGGAAGGUUGCAGCCUUGAAACGAGAACACAAAGGAAGAAACACAUGCCAGCUCCCAGGGAACCCUCUGUACCCCAGGCCCCAGCCUGGCGUGUGCAAGGUGAUCACACAUGUCUGUGGAACUGUAUGGGACAGAACCUGAACCAAGAGCAGCCUUACGUGGAAGUGGGACAGGCUUAGAGUUAAACUGGUGUAAGUGAAAACAGAGAGCAGCUGCUAUCGGCGCUGUAUCUAGUGAACGAAGGGUGUUCUGAGAACAGGCCUGGCUGGGCAGAGGCGAGGGUGUCAGGGCCUCCAAGAGGAGGGCAGAUGGUGACACUUCAGGGCAGCGAACAGAAAUGCCCACGGCAAAACCCUGUGACUCUUUCAUCUGAACGGAUGUGUUAAUGGCUCCCAUGGAGCGGGCAUAAGAGGGCUUAGCGCAUAUGCCUCCAUCUACUGUACUGGCUGUAAAUAAACCAUGUGCUUGUCUGCGCCAUCUGCUUAGUGUGCACUUUGUGGAACUGUGGGAAGAGAAAAAAGUGUUUGGGGCCAAAUGGCUAGAGAUACUUUAGUUGUAUAUUUAGGAACCAAAUAUGCUGACACCGCUAAAUUAUUACAUUUCCUUUAAAGUGGGUAAUUAAAUUUAAAUGCUCCUUUUUUUAUAAGCGAGGGAGCAGCGCUGGACAGUAGGAGGCCACACAGCUUCCAAAAGGUCAAAGAGCUGGUCACAGGCACAGAAUGAGGCUGGAGACAAGUCCCCUACCACUGGAGUUAAUCAAUCUUGAGUUAGUCACACUCAACCAGUCUCAACUGCAAAUUCUUCAUCUAUAAGUGAGGAACCUGUCACUCAUCCUCCCCGGGGCAGUAUUUUGAGAAUUAACUCAUGCUGAAAAUAUGAAGUUCUUUAGAUAGAAGAUAUUAUGAACAUACAAAAUGUCUUUAUGGAGAGGGUCACGCCCUCUAUAAAGUACCGAGUAUACAUUAUACAUGAUCAUUGCCCUCGUAUACACAUUGAGAUUGCCCAUUGCUCAUUUUUUUAAUUCCUCAAAAUUAUAUAAAUGAUGCCACUAAUUCAUUCAUUAAACAACUAUUUACUGAACAUUUAAAAUGUUCCAGACCCUGGAAUAAUGCUAAUCAGAAGUAAGACACCUACAAGUACCAUUAAGUUCUAAAAUCACAGACUUAGUGUGUUGCAAGUCAUUUCUAAAAUACGCAGUUGGAUUUCUGUUUUCAAAAUUAAACACUUGGUAUUUUCCCCACUUCUAGAUUUGUGGUUAUCUAAAAGUGAUUUCAAAGAAUUCAAAGCACGCCCUCAACCAACCUACAUGACCUUUUCCUAAGACCUAACAGUGCAGCAAUUUUAGCUAGAUAAUAUACAAAUGCCCAGAGAAUCCAACAACUUAAGAGGAACCAUAAAACAGCAUGAGCAAAUUGUUCCAGUUUAUGAAAUGCAACCAUGAGAGAAUAAUCAUACUGGGUUAGCCUCAUUUAUGAACUAUAUCUCAUCUUGAUGCAAUCCCCAGAGAUAAUGUAGGUCAAAUUGAUCAAAUGAAUUCCCAGGGUUGCUUGAAUACUUUUUAUGGCGCUGAACUUUGACUAUCAGAAUUUGCUUGGAAGAAAGAAGAGGUAAUGAGUGUAGGGGUGGUUAGGGUUAGCGCUCUUCACUCAGACAAACCCCCACACCAUAAUAUCAGCUACCUUACCUCUCUACGCCUUGGUUUUGUCAUGUACAAAAUGGAGAUAAUAAUAAUACCGAUCUCACACGUUCUCCAAGAAGCGUCAGUGAAACAGUAAAAGUCCCAGUACAUGGCAAGGACUCAGUGAAUGUUAGCUAUGACAGAGAACUUCACUGCGUGGGAAGAGAAUUUGCAAGGGGGCCAGAGCGUCAUCAAAGAGGUGUUAGUGAAACUGGAAAGUGGGUUGAGGAUGAGAAGGGGGACCUUGCAACUGCUAAGUUCCCACGGCAACUCUGCCACCCUUGCUAGGCAGAAGGCACAGAGGUGACAAUAAACUUGACGGAGAUGGAUCUUCCUUCCAAUCUGUCUCGGCAAGACACGAGCUGAAGGAGAGAGUGCAGGCUGCCCUGGACACAGCCCUGGGAAACCUUAAUUCCUCAUCAUGUCCCAGCGCGGGAGUGCCUCAAUGCCAUCUUGAUUUAUGUUAACUCUGAAAAGAGAAAGCAGUUUCCUCUGGAGGAGUUUAGAAACUAAAGCGGAAAAUCCCAUGCCAACAAGCUAUUUCAACACUAUUCUUGUUAAAAAUUUCUAAAACAUGUCAAAAUGGUGGGGAGAAAAUGAAACCUAACUAUUGGGUGAACUUUCAGAAGCGGCUUUGGCUUUAUAAAUUAAGUUUCGAUUCCAAAGACAAAAGUGCAGAGGAGAACGAGAAGGCUGUAUUCCAUUGAUGAUGUCCCUGGUUCUCACCCAAAACAAAACGAAGGCAAAGCCUGAAGCAUGAAAAGAUUUUUUUCACUGCAAGCUUUUGGAAUUCCGAAGGAGGAGGAUAAAGAUAUAACUGGAGCUGUGAAUUUAAUGCAGAAGUAUGGCAUCUACUUGAAGAUAAAAGGAAAUUAAGUCUUACACAACACUAAAAUCAACUAGAUUUAAAUCAGUAAUAAUAUUUACACAACAUCCUUCCAGUUACCAAUAACCCUGCGUUGAUUCUAACCCGAUCCUGAAGAAGUAAGUUAAAAAAAAAAAAA
Equus caballus (horse) is the source of this 2962-nucleotide long non-coding RNA. RefSeq lists it as uncharacterized. Lineage: Eukaryota; Metazoa; Chordata; Mammalia; Perissodactyla; Equidae. The record is from RefSeq and is a predicted model, not a curated record.